AGACUUGUAGCUCAAUGGUAGAGCAGUCCCCUCAUAAGGGAUUGGUCGUGGGUUCGAUUCCUACCAGGUUCA
This 72-nucleotide transfer RNA is filed under the name Naegleria gruberi. RNAcentral's name for it is "tRNA-Ile". It matches the Rfam family "tRNA". Rfam says of the family: Transfer RNA (tRNA) molecules are approximately 80 nucleotides in length. Their secondary structure includes four short double-helical elements and three loops (D, anti-codon, and T loops). Further hydrogen bonds mediate the characteristic L-shaped molecular structure. tRNAs have two regions of fundamental functional importance: the anti-codon, which is responsible for specific mRNA codon recognition, and the 3' end, to which the tRNAs corresponding amino acid is attached (by aminoacyl-tRNA synthetases). tRNAs cope with the degeneracy of the genetic code in two manners: having more than one tRNA (with a specific anti-codon) for a particular amino acid; and 'wobble' base-pairing, i.e. permitting non-standard base-pairing at the 3rd anti-codon position. The record is from RNAcentral. Lineage: Eukaryota; Heterolobosea; Eutetramitea; Acrasida; Naegleriidae.